GAUGAACGCUGGCGGCGUGCCUAAUACAUGCAAGUCGAGCGAACAGACGAGGAGCUUGCUCCUCUGACGUUAGCGGCGGACGGGUGAGUAACACGUGGAUAACCUACCUAUAAGACUGGGAUAACUUCGGGAAACCGGAGCUAAUACCGGAUAAUAUAUUGAACCGCAUGGUUCAAUAGUGAAAGACGGUUUUGCUGUCACUUAUAGAUGGAUCCGCGCCGCAUUAGCUAGUUGGUAAGGUAACGGCUUACCAAGGCAACGGUGCGUAGCCGACCUGGGAGGGUGAUCGGCCGCCGGGGAACGAGGACAGGGUCCCAACUCGGGGGGGAGGCAGGGGUGAGAAUUCUUCCGGAAGGGGCAAAGGCCUAGAGGGGCAACCCGGCGGAAGUCAGAAAGGGCUUCGGCGCGUAAAACUUUUUUGUUAGGGAGAAAUAAAUGUGUAAGAAACUAGGCGCGUUUUACGGGACCCUAAUAAGAAGCCCCGGGCAACUUCGGU
Molecule: ribosomal RNA, 496 nt
Filed under: uncultured bacterium
Lineage: Bacteria
Description: partial 16S ribosomal RNA
Rfam family: Bacterial small subunit ribosomal RNA
Source: RNAcentral